RNAcentral lists this long non-coding RNA (377 nucleotides) under Ananas comosus (pineapple). RNAcentral's name for it is "long non-coding RNA (ACOM_LNC008852)". The record is from RNAcentral. Lineage: Eukaryota; Viridiplantae; Streptophyta; Magnoliopsida; Poales; Bromeliaceae.
CUAGACCCAACUAAACCAUUCUCAUUCUCUACUUUAUGCUCUGAUACCACAUUAUCUGUCACGCCUCGAGACCCGCCUAUUUGGUCGGAUUCGGGCCCGCUAACAGACCGCCGAACGGACAGAGUUUUUCCUGUACAUCCUAGGUGUCGCAAUCAAUACAAUUCGCAAGAUUCCAAUCAGGAACAGAUUUCAAGCAAGGAUUGCAUAAGGAAGUAUCAAAAAUAUAAAACAACUAAGCUAUUACAAACAUUCACAUCACAUGCUUUUUACAUAUUAUAUUUUUAUUUUUUUUCUUCCAAAUACAAUCAAUAUUAUUACAACAUUGUAUUCUUCUUUUCUACAACCCCUAGCUAGGCCGACCCGGAGUAAUGCUAUCU